RNAcentral lists this long non-coding RNA (475 nucleotides) under Gallus gallus (chicken). Lineage: Eukaryota; Metazoa; Chordata; Aves; Galliformes; Phasianidae. The record is from RNAcentral.
GUGCGUGUGGCCAGGAAUGCCAUAGAAGGAAGGAUUCAGCACAAUGCCACCUAGAUGCAUCAAGGCCUCCUUGUCCCAGGGCCAAGUUGCCACUCCAGCCAGCUCUUCCUCAGAGGAGUUGGCAAAGAAGAUGUUGAGGUGUGUGGAUCCAUCCAGUUUGAGUAUGUUCUUCAGUUCAUUGACAUCUAAGUAUGCUCUGUAUGGAGAAUAUGGGUCAAAGCACGUCUUGGUGACUUCUGUUAUCUCCGGGUUGCAGCACUCCCCACCAUCGAAGUUGUACCUCUCGUAAUUGCAAUCCAUGUCACACACUCCAUUCUGCUUCUUCUUGUUGAAAAGCGUGUGGCGUACAUGCCGGCAGUCUCCUCCAUCGUACCCGGUCAAGGUGUGGUUGCACUCGGGGUCACAGUUCUCAUCCCCGAUCUUGCUGAUAUCACAGUUGGCCAGGAUGAGCCGGUGCCGAAGGGACGAGUUCUUC